UGGCGGCAGGCCUAACACAUGCAAGUCGAGCGGUAACAGGAAUUAGCUUGCUAAUUUGCUGACGAGCGGCGGACGGGUGAGUAAUGCCUAGGGAACUGCCCAGUCGAGGGGGAUAACAGUUGGAAACGACUGCUAAUACCGCAUACGCCCUACGGGGGAAAAGAGGGGACCUUCGGGCCUUCUGCGAUUGGAUGUACCUAGGUGGGAUUAGCUAGUUGGUGAGGUAAUGGCUCACCAAGGCGACGAUCCCUAGCUGUUCUGAGAGGAUCAUCAGCCACACUGGGACUGAGACACGGCCCAGACUCCUACGGGAGGCAGCAGUGGGGAAUAUUGCACAAUGGGCGCAAGCCUGAUGCAGCCAUGCCGCGUGUGUGAAGAAGGCCUUCGGGUUGUAAAGCACUUUCAGCGAGGAGGAAAGCUUAAGCGUUAAUAGCGUUUAGGUGUGACGUUACUCGCAGAAGAA
RNAcentral lists this ribosomal RNA (463 nucleotides) under marine sediment bacterium ISA-1318. RNAcentral describes it as "bacterial SSU rRNA". It matches the Rfam family "Bacterial small subunit ribosomal RNA", at positions 37 to 489 of the family's 1533-position model. The record is from RNAcentral.